Molecule: ribosomal RNA, 497 nt
Filed under: uncultured bacterium
Lineage: Bacteria
Description: partial 16S ribosomal RNA
Rfam family: Bacterial small subunit ribosomal RNA
Source: RNAcentral
GAUGAACGCUGGCGGCGUGCCUAAUACAUGCAAGUCGAGCGAACAGACGAUGAGCUUGCUCCUCUGACGUUAGCGGCGGACGGGUGAGUAACACGUGGAUAACCUACCUAUAAGACUGGGAUAACUUCGGGAAACCGGAGCUACUACCGGAUAAUAUAUUGAACCGCAUGGUUCAAUAGUGAAAGACGGUUUUGCUGUCACUUAUAGAUGGAUCCGCGCCGCAUUAGCUAGUUGGUAAGGUAACGGCUUACCAAGGCAACGAUGCGUAGCCGACCUGAGAGGGUGAUCGGCCACACUGGAACUGAGACACGGUCCAGACUCCUACGGGAGGCAGCAGUAGGGAAUAUUCCGCAAUGGGCGAAAGCCUGACGGAGCAACGCCGCGUGAGUGAUGAAGGUCUUCGGAUCGUAAAACUCUGUUAUUAGGGAAGAACAAAUGUGUAAGUAACUAUGCACGUCUUGACGGUACCUAAUCAGAAAGCCACGGCUAACUACGUG